Molecule: ribosomal RNA, 197 nt
Filed under: Lodderomyces metapsilosis
Lineage: Eukaryota; Fungi; Ascomycota; Pichiomycetes; Serinales; Debaryomycetaceae
Description: Candida metapsilosis 5.8S ribosomal RNA
Rfam family: 5.8S ribosomal RNA (bases 25-178)
About the family: 5.8S ribosomal RNA (5.8S rRNA) is a component of the large subunit of the eukaryotic ribosome. It is transcribed by RNA polymerase I as part of the 45S precursor that also contains 18S and 28S rRNA. Functionally, it is thought that 5.8S rRNA may be involved in ribosome translocation.
Source: RNAcentral
UCAACUUGAUUAACUAAUAGUCAAAACUUUCAACAACGGAUCUCUUGGUUCUCGCAUCGAUGAAGAACGCAGCGAAAUGCGAUAAGUAAUAUGAAUUGCAGAUAUUCGUGAAUCAUCGAAUCUUUGAACGCACAUUGCGCCCUUUGGUAUUCCAAAGGGCAUGCCUGUUUGAGCGUCAUUUCUCCCUCAAACCUUCG